UAGCCCAACCCUGCGACAGCACCACACAACAUGGCACACACACCAGCAGCAGUCUAUUUCAAUCUCCUCUUUUUGAGUCCUUAAAAUAAAAACACGGAGAAUCGACCGUCUGGGAUUUUUUUUUGUCUCAAUGUUUUCAGCGAGAACUAAACGGGCCUUGGCCCACGAGAGAGGAGAGUGACAGUUUGACUUACGCGGGCCGGAGCUUGGGAGCGGUCUUGACGGGACUGGCCAGUUUUUUGGGGUUUUCGAGGGUUUGGCAGGCCCCGGGACGAGGACCAAAGCGCGCCUUGGCCCGGGGCGCGAGAGUGGGCGUGUCGAUGGAGCGGAGAGAUAAGAGAGGAAGAGAGGAGAGCGAGCGGAGGAGUGAGCGGAGGAGUCUGGGAACACGGUGAAGAGAUCUGGACAGCACAUGACGAGUCGUACGAUGUGUUGCGUCUCGAACCCCUCACUCAGCACCCACUCGCACCCACAUGGCCGGCUCCGCCAGAGCCAAGGACACGGAGGACUGGAUGUCAGUGAGAGAAAGCCAUUCUGCUCCAACUGGAUGAGACAGUAGUCAGCCACUAUGUCAGUAGUGUGGCUGGUGUAUGGGUGCUGGUGUGGAGGAGAUGGCUGGAGUGCAGGCCUUUGAAGGUGUAACGUGAGCGGGCCUGAUCACAGAGGGCCGAGGGAAAGCUGAUACGGCGCGGCGCUUGUGACGGCACCGGCCGCUGCCUUUGUUGUGGGGGAUUCUGCGUUUAACUGGAAACAGGUUGGGGUCCCUUGGCCACGGGGAAUUCACACCCUCCCAUACACACAUGCACACG
This is a long non-coding RNA of Sardina pilchardus (European sardine), 809 nucleotides long. RefSeq lists it as uncharacterized. The record is from RefSeq and is a predicted model, not a curated record. Lineage: Eukaryota; Metazoa; Chordata; Actinopteri; Clupeiformes; Clupeidae. The transcript is spliced from 3 exons.